RNAcentral lists this ribosomal RNA (253 nucleotides) under uncultured bacterium. RNAcentral's name for it is "partial 16S ribosomal RNA". It matches the Rfam family "Bacterial small subunit ribosomal RNA", at positions 524 to 776 of the family's 1533-position model. The record is from RNAcentral.
UACGUAGGGGGCAAGCGUUGUCCGGAUUCAUUGGGCGUAAAGAGCGUGUAGGCGGCCAGGUAGGUCGGUUGUGAAAACUGGAGGCUCAACCUUCAGAGGUCGACCCAAACCCCCUGGCUAGAGUCCGGAAGAGGAGAGUGGAAUUCCUGGUGUAGCGGUGAAAUGCGCAGAUAUCAGGAAGAACACCCGUGGCGAAGGCGGCUCUCUGGGACGGUACUGACGCUGAGACGCGAAAGCGUGGGGAGCGAACAGG